GGAAGAUUCUCCCUCAGUGUAGAAAGGAACCAUCCUAUUUGGGGUUCCAGAUGGAAAACAAAGUCAAAGGAAGGACAAACUAUUGCUCUCUUUCUUGCUUCCAAAGCAAGAGGCUCUUCUAUUCCUGCAUUUGAAUAUCAGAACUCCAGUUCCUCCAGCUCUUGGACUCUGGGGCUCACAACAGCAGCUCUGUUUUGGGGCCUUUGACCUGGGACUGAAUUCAUACCACUGGAUUGCCUAGACCAGGGAAGCCAGUUGGCAUGGCUCAGUCCAAGUCUGACCACCUGAGGAAUGCCUGGACUGAGCCGUGCUACUGGCUUCCCUGGUCUCCAGCUUGCAGAUGGCCUAUCAUGAGACUUCUCAGCCUCCAUAAUCAUGGGAGCCCAUUCCGCUAAUAAAUCUUCUCUAAUGUAACUAUCUCCAUAUCCUAUAUGUUCUACCUCCCUAGGAACCCUGACUAACAGUCAUUAACCUUUAACAGUACAUUUCAAACGAUGAAGCUCUUCGGAUUCCAAAUAUACUUAAGAAGACUUUCUAAAUACCAUUCAAAUGAAAAGAUAAAGCCAAAAAUUUAUAGUACCACUUAGAAAUGAGGCCGAAAUUUAUGGGACAUCAUUGUAAUAUUUUCCUGAUGAAUAUUUCCAGAAAAAAUUUCAUUUAAGGAGUGAUUGCAUUUUAAAAAGAAGAUGCAUGGAAGGAACAAUGAGGAUAACAUGAAACACACUUGCAGCAUAUUGUGGUGUAUAUAAAUUAUACUCCCGGACACUUCCUAGUUUGGUAACAAGUUUCAUGUUCUCCAAGUUUCCUGUUAAUCAGCAAUGUUUGAAACAAUUUGGUUGCUUCACUGUAUAAUGUUUCCAAGAAAACUAAAGCCUCACUAAUGUACACAUAGCUCUCAAAAGAAGACGUGUAUAUGCAUUAGAUUCCACUGUGGUUAUAUGAGCAUCCUAGGACAUUAAAAAAAGGAAAUUACAUAGAGAAGUCUCAGUGUGCUACUUUUUGAAGUCACGAAGAGCAAAGUAGUCUUCAGAUUGACACGUGUGCACCAUAUCUGAAUGAUAUAGUUAACUCCAUCAGUCCUGUUAUUAAGUUUUUCAGCUUUUGAUAUUUUUAAUAAAAAGAUUAGUCAAUACUCUAAUAUUGUUCACUUUUUCACUUCAUUUUUGUUUUGGUCAUAUGGUAUUGAGAAGGAUGAAGUUUUAGGUCAAUCAAUGGGAAGAUAAAAUAAAAUAUGAGGAGGAACAAAGAAAUGCACAGAAAAUUCCCAGCAGUUGAUGAAGGAAAAAGUAAUUGGGAAGUUAUUCAUAAGUGGUUAGCAUUUCAGAAAUCUCUGUGGCAUUGCUUACUAACCCACAUAAUAGAUGAGAUUAAUAAGUAUCCUGUUAAUCAGCAGCAGCGCUAUUAUCAUCAUUAAUAAUAUAAAUGUUUUCCUUUUCUAUUUCUUUUUCUUUUUUAAAAACUUUUAAGUUCAGGGUUACGUGUGCAGGUUUGUUAUAUAGGUACACUUUUGUCAUGGGGUUUUGUUGUACAGACUAUUUCUUCACUCAGAUAUUAAACCUAGUAACUAUUAGUUUUUUUUUCCUCAUUUUCUCCCUCAUCCAACCCUCCACUUUCCACCUUCCAUUAUGCCCUAUGUGUUGUUCCCCGCUACAUGUACAUAUGUUCUCAUCAUUUAGCUCCCUUUUAUACAUGAGAACAUGUGAUAUUUGGUUUUCUAUUUCUGCAUUAGUUUGCUAAGAAUAAUGGCCUCCAGCUCCAUCCAUGUCCCUGCAAAGACAUGAUCUCAUUCUGUUUUUUUUUAUGGCUGCAUGAUAUUCCAUGGUGUAUAUGUACCACAAUUUCCUUAUACAGCCUAUUACUGAUGGGCAUUUAAGUUAAGUUCAUUUCAUGUCUUUGCUAUUAUGAAUAAUGCUGCAAUGAGCAUACUCAUGCAUUUGUGUUUACAAUAGAACAAUUUAUAUUCCUUUGGGCAUAUACCCAACAAUGGGGUGGUGGGACUAAUGGUAGUUCUGACUUUAGGUCUUUGAGGAAUUGUCACGGGGUCUUCCAUGAUGGCUGAACUAAUUUACACUCCCACCAACAGUGUAUAAGCAUUCCUUUUUCUCCACAACCACAUCAGCGUCUGUUUUUUUUUUUUACUUUUUAAUAAUAGCCAUUGUGACUGAUGUGAGAUGGUAUCUCAUUGUGGUUUUCAUUAUCAUUUCUCUAAUAAUCAGUAGUGUUGAGCGUUUUUUAGUAUGAUUGUUGGCCACAUGUAUUUCUUCUUUUGAAAAGUGUCUGUUCAUGUCCUUUGCCCACUUUUUAAUAUUCACAUUUGCCGGAAAAUCAGGUUUGGGGAUAAGAUAAAGAUCAUAAAAUACAUAUUUAAUGUGCUUAAAGAAAUAAAAUUUGAAGAAAGAAUUCAUGGAUUGAAACAUUAAACAGAAAAAAAUUGUAGCAAAGAUAAAUAAAAAUGGAUAACUUGAAAAAAGUUAACAAGACAUGUAGAUGUCUUAAUCUGUGUCCCGUUGCUAAAACUGAAUACUGCAAACUGAUGAUUUGUAGGAAUAAAUGUUGAUUUGUUCAUGGUUCUGGAGAUGGAGAGUUCAAGAGCAUGUUUCUGGUAUCUAGUAAAAGAUUCCUUGCUGUGUCAGAACAUAAUGAGGGAAUCACAUAGCAAGAGGCCAAGAGUGUGCCCAUUCAGAUUUCUCUUCCUCUUUUUACAAAGCCACUAGUCCUACCACAGGGGCUCCAUUCUUAUGAUCUUGUCUAAUUCUAAUUACCUCCCAAAGUCACCACUUCAAGUCAACAUAUAAAUUUGAAGACUACAUUCCCAACACAUGGAAUUUUGAGACAUGCUUAAACCAUAGAAAUAAAUAAUAGAAUAAAAGUAUAGUAUGUAUCUAAUUAGUGUCUGAGAAGGGAAGAAAAUUAUGUAUUGGGCCACUGAGAUAUACUGGCUGAGAAAUUUUUAGAAAUGUUAAAACCACAAAUGGUCACUUAAAGGGGAGUACGUUGUACAUCACGCAUGAUAAAGCAAAAAUAAAUAAAUAAAUAUAAAUCUUCAUAUAAAAAUGUGGAGAUUUCAGGCCAUAAAACCAUUUUCAACCAAUUUCUAAAAUUUGAUAACAUAAAAAUUAUGUUAUCCAAG
This 3130-nucleotide long non-coding RNA is filed under the name Homo sapiens (human). RNAcentral's name for it is "HSALNT0073097". The stretch from base 240 to 329 matches the Rfam family "mir-1269 microRNA precursor family". The record is from RNAcentral. Lineage: Eukaryota; Metazoa; Chordata; Mammalia; Primates; Hominidae.